GACGUAGGGCGCGAGCGUUUGUCCGGAUUUAUUGGGCGUAAAGGGCUCGUAGGCGGUCUGUCACGUCGGGAGUGAAAACACGGGGCUUAACCCCGUGCCUGCUUCCGAUACGGGCAGACUAGAGGUAUGCAGGGGAGAACGGAAUUCCUGGUGUAGCGGUGAAAUGCGCAGAUAUCAGGAGGAACACCGGUGGCGAAGGCGGUUCUCUGGGCAUUACCUGACGCUGAGGAGCGAAAGUGUGGGGAGCGAACAGG
Molecule: ribosomal RNA, 254 nt
Filed under: uncultured bacterium
Lineage: Bacteria
Description: partial 16S ribosomal RNA
Rfam family: Bacterial small subunit ribosomal RNA
Source: RNAcentral